Small RNA from Eubacterium sp. CAG:156, 89 nucleotides. It matches the Rfam family "GA-cis RNA". NCBI's taxonomy places the organism in Bacteria, Bacillati, Bacillota, Clostridia, Eubacteriales, Eubacteriaceae. The record is from Rfam.
GGCAGGAGGAAACAAAAUGAACGGAGUUCAUUUUCUUAUAAAUGUUUCCGACGUUUAGCCGCUGACCGAAGGGAGGGGCAAUACAAAGA